GACGAACGCUGGCGGCGUGCCUAAUACAUGCAAGUUGAGCGCUGAAGGUUGGUACUUGUACCAACUGGAUGAGCAGCGAACGGGUGAGUAACGCGUGGGGAAUCUGCCUUUGAGCGGGGGACAACAUUUGGAAACGAAUGCUAAUACCGCAUAAAAACUUUACACACAAGUUUUAAGUUUGAAAGAUGCAAUUGCAUCACUCAAAGAUGAUCCCGCGUUGUAUUAGCUAGUUGGUGAGGUAAAGGCUCACCAAGGCGAUGAUACAUAGCCGACCUGAGAGGGUGAUCGGCCACAUUGGGACUGAGACACGGCCCAAACUCCUACGGGAGGCAGCAGUAGGGAAUCUUCGGCAAUAGACGAAAGUCUGACCGAGCAACGCCGCGUGAGUGAAGAAGGUUUUCGGAUCGUAAAACUCUGUUGGUAGAGAAGAACGUUGGUGAGAGUGGAAAGCUCAUCAAGUGACGGUAACUACCCAGAAAGGGACGGCUAACUACGUG
RNAcentral lists this ribosomal RNA (497 nucleotides) under uncultured bacterium. RNAcentral's name for it is "partial 16S ribosomal RNA". It matches the Rfam family "Bacterial small subunit ribosomal RNA", at positions 28 to 507 of the family's 1533-position model. The record is from RNAcentral.